AUUGAACGCUGGCGGCAUGCUUUACACAUGCAAGUCGAACGGCAGCGCGGGCUUCGGCCUGGCGGCGAGUGGCGAACGGGUGAGUAAUGCAUCGGAACGUGCCCAGUCGUGGGGGAUAGCCCGCCGAAAGCCGGAUUAAUACCGCAUCCGACCUGAGGGUGAAAGCGGGGGACCGAAAGUCCUCGCGCUUUUUUAGCGGCCGAUGUCGGAUUAGCUAGUUGGUUGGGUAACGGCUUACCAAGGCGACGAUCCGUAGCUGGUCUUAGAGGACGACCCGCCACACUGGGAGUGAGACACGGCCCAGACUCCUACGGGAGGAAGCAGUGGGGAAUUUUGGACAAUGGGGGCAAGCCUGAUCCAGCCAUGCCGCGUGAGGGAAGAAGGACUUCGGGUUGUAAAGCGCUUUUGUUCGGGAAGAAAUACUCUGGGCUAAUACCCCGGGGGGAUGACGGUACCGGAAGAAUAAGCACCGGCUAACUACGUG
Molecule: ribosomal RNA, 484 nt
Filed under: uncultured bacterium
Lineage: Bacteria
Description: partial 16S ribosomal RNA
Rfam family: Bacterial small subunit ribosomal RNA
Source: RNAcentral